AUGGCCCGCUUUAUCAAGGGCGUUGACAACAGGGCUACACUCACAAAGAACUGGAGCAACUUCUUCCAUAAGGCAAACAUGAAGAAAGGGUGUGCAUAUGCUUUCGUCUUCAAGUGCAUGUCUAAGGGCCUCUGCAUGAUCGUCUAUUCAAUCUAA
This 156-nucleotide ribosomal RNA is filed under the name Triticum aestivum (bread wheat). RNAcentral's name for it is "partial small subunit ribosomal RNA". Lineage: Eukaryota; Viridiplantae; Streptophyta; Magnoliopsida; Poales; Poaceae. The record is from RNAcentral.